AUUUGUCAAUUUUAUAUGUUUUCACUUUUUUUGAUUGUAUCCCUUUCGUAUAUACGGUCAUGCCAAUUUUCUUCCACAAUUUCAUCUGAGGAAGUGGGUCUGGCCCACGAAAACUCAUCACCUAAUAAACCAUCUUGUUAGUCUUUAAAGUGCUGCAUAGUCCUGUCUUUUGUUUGAGAAAAAAAAAACAGGUUCCAACUAAAGUAAAAAGUUUGGGAAACCCUGGUCUAGCCAGCUUUCUCUCCAUCUUACAGUCCAUUUAUCCAAUCCAUACUCCCUUAACUUGCUGGCAAGGAUAUUGUGGAUGACCGUAUCAAAAGCUAGAGGUGAAAUUCUUGGACCGGCACAAGACGGACCAAAGCGAAAGCAUUUGCUAAGAACGUUUUCAUUAAUCAAGAACGAAAGUCGGAGGUUCGAAGACGAUCAGAUACCAUCGUAGUUCCGACCAUAAACGAUGCCGACUCACGAUCCGGCGGCGUUAUUCCCAUGACCCUCCAGGCAGCCUACAGGAAACCAAAGUCUUUGAGU
Pelodiscus sinensis (Chinese soft-shelled turtle) is the source of this 528-nucleotide ribosomal RNA. It matches the Rfam family "Eukaryotic small subunit ribosomal RNA", at positions 626 to 1112 of the family's 1831-position model. Lineage: Eukaryota; Metazoa; Chordata; Testudines; Trionychidae. The record is from Rfam.